CCUACGGGUGGCAGCAGUGAGGAAUAUUGGUCAAUGGACGAGAGUCUGAACCAGCCAAGUAGCGUGAAGGAUGACUGCCCUAUGGGUUGUAAACUUCUUUUAUAUGGGAAUAAAACGUUCCACGUGUGGGAUUUUGUAUGUACCAUAUGAAUAAGGAUCGGCUAACUCCGUGCCAGCAGCCGCGGUAAUACGGAGGAUCCGAGCGUUAUCCGGAUUUAUUGGGUUUAAAGGGAGCGUAGGUGGAUUGUUAAGUCAGUUGUGAAAGUUUGCGGCUCAACCGUAAAAUUGCAGUUGAAACUGGCAGUCUUGAGUACAGUAGAGGUGGGCGGAAUUCGUGGUGUAGCGGUGAAAUGCGUAGAUAUCACGAAGAACUCCGAUUGCGAAGGCAGUUCACUGGACUGCAACUGACACUGAGGCUCGAAAGUGUGGGUAUCAAACAGGAUUAGAUACCCUUGUAGUC
RNAcentral lists this ribosomal RNA (460 nucleotides) under uncultured bacterium. RNAcentral describes it as "partial 16S ribosomal RNA". It matches the Rfam family "Bacterial small subunit ribosomal RNA", at positions 338 to 795 of the family's 1533-position model. The record is from RNAcentral.